GACGAACGCUGGCGGCGUGCUUAACACAUGCAAGUCGAACGGAAAGGCCCCUUUGGGGGUACUCGAGUGGCGAACGGGUGAGUAACACGUGAGUAACCUGCCCUUGACUUCGGGAUAACUUCAGGAAACUGGGGCUAAUACCGGAUAGGAAUCCUUGCUUCAUGGUGGGGGUUGGAAAGCUUCGGCGGUUUUGGAUGGACUCGCGGCUUAUCAGCUUGUUGGUGGGGUAGUGGCUUACCAAGGCUUUGACGGGUAGCCGGCCUGAGAGGGCGACCGGCCACAUUGGGACUGAGAUACGGCCCAGACUCCGACGGGAGGCAGCAGUGGGGAAUAUUGCACAAUGGGCGGAAGCCUGAUGCAGCAACGCCGCGUGCGGGAUGACGGCCUUCGGGUUGUAAACCGCUUUCAGCAGGGGCGAAGCUUGUGGUGACGGUACCUGCAGAAGAAGCACCGGCUAACUACGUG
This 465-nucleotide ribosomal RNA is filed under the name uncultured bacterium. Its description in RNAcentral is "partial 16S ribosomal RNA". It matches the Rfam family "Bacterial small subunit ribosomal RNA", at positions 28 to 507 of the family's 1533-position model. The record is from RNAcentral.